Molecule: ribosomal RNA, 253 nt
Filed under: uncultured bacterium
Lineage: Bacteria
Description: partial 16S ribosomal RNA
Rfam family: Bacterial small subunit ribosomal RNA
Source: RNAcentral
GACGAACCGUCCUAACGUUGUUCGGAAUCACUGGGCUUAAAGGGCGCGUAGGCGGGCAUGCAAGUCCGGGGUGAAAGCUUUCGGCUUAACCGGAAAAGGGCCUUGGAUACUGCAUGUCUAGAGGGAGGUAGGGGUCUGUGGAACUUCGGGUGGAGCGGUGAAAUGCGUUGAUAUCCGAAGGAACGCCGGUGGCGAAAGCGCUCUACUGGACCGCAACUGACACUCAGGGACGAAAGCUAGGGGAGCGAAUGGG